Molecule: ribosomal RNA, 813 nt
Filed under: uncultured bacterium
Lineage: Bacteria
Description: bacterial SSU rRNA
Rfam family: Bacterial small subunit ribosomal RNA
Source: RNAcentral
AGAGUUUGAUCCUGGCUCAGGAUGAACGCUGGCGGCGUGCCUAAUACAUGCAAGUCGAGCGGUAAGGUCCCUACAGAUUGUUCAAGCGAAAGUUUGAAUGAUGUGUUGGGAUACACGAGCGGCGGACGGCUGAGUAACACGUAGGAACGUACCCCAAAGUGAGGGAUAAGCACCAGAAAUGGUGUCUAAUACCGCAUGUGCUCUUCGGAGGAAAGCUUCGGCGCUUUGGGAACGGCCUGCGCAUGAUUAGCUUGUUGGUGUGGUAAUGGCUCACCAAGGCGAUGAUCAUUAGCUGGUCUGAGAGGAUGAUCAGCCAGACUGGAACUGAGAACGGUCCAGACUCCUACGGGAGGCAGCAGUAGGGAAUUUUCCACAAUGGACGAAAGUCUGAUGGAGCAACGCCGCGUGCAGGAUGAAGGCCCUCGGGUCGUAAACUGCUUUUAUAUGUGACGAUUAUGACGGUAGCAUAUGAAUAAGGAUCGGCUAACUCCUCAUACGGAGGAUCCAAGCGUUAUCCGGAAUUACUGGGCGUAAAGAGUUGCGUAGGUGGCAUUGUAAGUGAAUAGUGAAAGCGUUCGGCUCAACCGAAUAAACAUUAUUUAAACUGCAAAGCUAGAGGAUGAGAGAGGUUAUUGGAAUUCCUAGUGUAGGAGUGAAAUCCGUAGAUAUUAGGAGGAACACCGAUGGCGUACGCAGAUAACUGGCUCAUUCCUGACACUAAAGCACGAAAGCGUGGUAGCAAACGGGAUUAGAUACCCCGGGUAGCCCCACGCCGUAAAACGAUGGAUGCUAGCUGUUAAUCGGUAUUCGAAC